Molecule: ribosomal RNA, 465 nt
Filed under: uncultured bacterium
Lineage: Bacteria
Description: partial 16S ribosomal RNA
Rfam family: Bacterial small subunit ribosomal RNA
Source: RNAcentral
CCUACGGGCGGCAGCAGUGGGGAAUAUUGCGCAAUGGGCGAAAGCCUGACGCAGCGACGCCGCGUGAGGGAUGAAGGUCUUCGGAUCGUAAACCUCUGUCAGCAGGGAAGAACGGUCACUGUGCUAAUCAGCAGUGAAUUGACGGUACCUGCAAAGGAAGCACCGGCUAACUCCGUGCCAGCAGCCGCGGUAAUACGGAGGGUGCGAGCGUUAAUCGGAAUUACUGGGCGUAAAGCGCUCGUAGGCGGUAGGUCAAGUCAAGGGUGAAAUCCCCGCGCUCAACGUGGGAACUGCCUUUGAAACUGGCAGACUGGAGUGUGUGAGAGGAUAGUGGAAUUCCAGGUGUAGGAGUGAAAUCCGUAGAUAUCUGGAGGAACAUCAGUGGCGAAGGCGACUAUCUGGCACAUAACUGACGCUGAGGAGCGAAAGCGUGGGUAGCAAACAGGAUUAGAUACCCUAGUAGUC